Molecule: ribosomal RNA, 390 nt
Filed under: uncultured bacterium
Lineage: Bacteria
Description: bacterial SSU rRNA
Rfam family: Bacterial small subunit ribosomal RNA
Source: RNAcentral
GACGAACGCUGGCGGCGUGCUUAACACAUGCAAGUCGAGCGGUAAGGCCCUUUCGGGGGUACACGAGCGGCGAACGGGUGAGUAACACGUGGGUGACCUGCCUUUAGCUCUGGGAUAAGCCUGGGAAACUGGGUCUAAUACCGGAUAUGACUCCGCGGUGCAUGCUGUGGGGUGGAAAGCCUUGUGCGGCUGGGAGAGUGGGCCCGCGGCCUAUCAGCUUGUUGGGUGGGGUGAUGGCCACCAAGGCGACGACGGGUAGCCGGCCUGAGAGGGCGACCGGCCACACUGGGACUGAGACACGGCCCAGACUCCUACGGGAGGCAGCAGGUGGGGAAUCUUGCGCAAUGGGCGAAAGCCUGACGCAGCGACGCCGCGUGAGGGAUGACGGCC